UGAUUAGAGUUUGAUCCUGGCUCAGGACGAACGCUGGCGGCAUGCCUAAUACAUGCAAGUCGUACGAACGAUCUUCGGAUCGUUAGUGGCGAACGGGUGAGUAACACGUAGGUAACUUACCCUUAAGAUUGGGAUAACAGUUGGAAACGACUGCUAAUACCGAAUACGAUAAGAAGUCGCAUGGCUUUUUAUUGAAAGAUGCGAAUGCAUCACUUAAGGAUGGACCUGCGGCACAUUAGCUAGUUGGUGAGGUAACGGCUCACCAAGGCGAUGAUGCGUAGCCGACCUGAGAGGGUGAUCGGCCACACUGGGACUGAGACACGGCCCAGACUCCUACGGGAGGCAGCAGUAGGGAAUAUUCGUCAAUGGGGGAAACCCUGAACGAGCAAUGCCGCGUGAGUGAUGAAGGUCUUCGGAUUGUAAAACUCUGUUGUAAGGGAAGAAAUGUUAUAGAAGGAAAUGGCUAUAACUUGACGGUACCUUACGAGGAAGCCCCGGCUAACUACGUGCCAGCAGCCGCGGUAAUACGUAGGGGGCGAGCGUUGUCCGGAAUUAUUGGGCGUAAAGGGUGCGUAGGCGGUCUAUUAAGUCUGGUGUGAAAGCCCACAGCUUAACUGUGGAGGGUCAUUGGAAACUGGUAGACUUGAGUGUGAUAGAGGUGAGUGGAAUUCCACGUGUAGCGGUGAAAUGCGUAGAGAUGUGGAGGAACACCAGUGGCGAAGGCGACUCACUGGAUCAUUACUGACGCUGAGGCACGAAAGCGUGGGGAGCAAAUAGGAUUAGAUACCCUAGUAGUCCACGCUGUAAACGUUGAAUGCUAAGUGUUGGAGGGGCAGCCCUUCAGUGCUGAAGUUAACACAUUAAGCAUUCCGCCUGGGGAGUACGGUCGCAAGGCUGAAA
RNAcentral lists this ribosomal RNA (900 nucleotides) under uncultured Bacillota bacterium. RNAcentral describes it as "bacterial SSU rRNA". It matches the Rfam family "Bacterial small subunit ribosomal RNA", at positions 1 to 899 of the family's 1533-position model. Lineage: Bacteria; Bacillati; Bacillota. The record is from RNAcentral.